RNA transcript from Cucumis melo (muskmelon), 1963 nucleotides. It is a transcript of the gene named protein FLX-like 1, with no coding region annotated. The transcript is spliced from 8 exons. The record is from RefSeq and is a predicted model, not a curated record. NCBI's taxonomy places the organism in Eukaryota, Viridiplantae, Streptophyta, Magnoliopsida, Cucurbitales, Cucurbitaceae.
AAACAAGCGGUAAAUCGAACAAAAGCAAGAAAGGGCGGAAAAAGAAGAAGAAGAAACCCUACUAGGGUUUUUAUUUUCCACCCAAUCCAAUUGACGGGAUGAUAAUCCCCUAAUUCCCAUCCCCUCAAUUUCGUAUUACCUUCGUACUUAUCCAUUUUCCGUCGGAUUCCUCCUCUCCCGGAAGUUUCGUAUUCGACAUGGCUGAGCUGAUCGAGAAUGCUUGACUUAUCGAAUUCUGCGUUGGUGUCUUGACAUUCCGAUUGCUUCGGAUGGAGUGGCUUUCCUGGCAGUAGAUAGAAAGCUGGCUUCUUGAUGUUUAUGUUACUCAGUCCUACUAUAGAAAUGUAACUUGUUUUUGGGUUUUGGGAUAUUUCGAUUAUGUCUGGAAGAAAUCGAGGACCGCCCAUCCCGCUAAAUGGUCUGCCUCAUGGUGGACUACCACCAGUUCGUGAACCUCCUUUUGCUAGAGGUCUUGGGCCAUUGCCACAUCCAGUGCUUCUUGAGGAAAUCAGGGAAUCACAGUAUGGGAUGCAUCCAGGGUCUCUUCCUCCACACCCUGCAAUAAUCGAGGAGCGUCUUGCUGCCCAACAUCAAGAUAUUCAAGGUCUUCUUCUUGACAACCAGAGGCUAGCUGCAACCCAUGUUGCGCUUAAGCAAGAACUAGAAGCAGCCCAGCAUGAGUUGCAACGCAUGGCUCAUGUUGCCGAUUCCUUACAUGCAGAGAGGGACAUUCAGAUGAGAGAAUUAUAUGAAAAGUCAGUAAGACUAGAGGUUGAUAUGCGAGGAGUUGAGACUAUGCGAGCAGAGCUUCUUCAAGUUCAUUCUGAUGUCAAGGAAUUAACUGCUGCAAGGCAGGAGCUUAAUGGGCAAGUACAAGCAAUGACACAAGAUCUAACUAGAAUCACUGCAGAUUUGCAGCAGGUCCCUGCUUUGAGGGCAGAAAUUGAAACUGUGAAGCAGGAAUUACAUCGUGCAAGAGUUGCAAUUGAGUAUGAAAAGAAGGGAUAUGCGGAGAAUUAUGAACACGGUCAGGUUAUGGAGAAGAAACUGGUUUCAAUGGCUAGGGAAUUGGAGAAACUUAGAGCUGAGGUUGCUAAUGCAGAGAAGAGAGCUCAUGCUUCUGCUGCUGUUGGCGGAAAUGCUGCUGCUGGAUAUGGAGCAAAUUAUGGCAAUGCUGAUGCUGGAUACGGGGGAAAUCCAUAUUCUACCAAUUAUGGCUUGAACUCCGUGCAGUCUGGUACUGAAGGUUAUCCUCCGUAUGGACCUGGAUCUGUUCCCUGGGGUGCAUAUGACAUACAACGGGCUCAAGGACAUAGAUAGAAUGAUGCAUGAUAUCCUGCUAAGAUGUUUCUUGCAGAGGGAUUGAGGUUCAAAUCACAAAGCACUGAUAAUUAGCAGGUUUGUGGGCCUCCGUUAUCUGCUUCAUCUAUGUCUGUGAACUGAUUUCAGAUUGUACUGAGAUUCUAUAUAAAAGCAGUGGAAGCUGAACUCCCAAUUCUUCCAUCUGAAAUCACUGCAGUUUGUGGCUUGGCUUCCGCCCUUUGCUUCAGUAUGAGAAAAAUGAGACGUCUAUUCGAAGUUGACCUAUGGUUCUUGAACAUCCAUCUAUGUAACAGGCAUACAGAUCCGAACAGGCUUCAACUGUGUUCGCUGCUCGACAAAAUGGGUUCUGUCACAGUUUAGUAGUUCAACUUCAACCAAAACCCUCUGGAGUUUUGUUGGCUUGAAGUUGGUUGAAUUUAACAGCAGCGGAUCAAAAGUUAAUUGUUGAAAGUUGGGGUAAAUCAACCCCACAUCAGGCAAAUAUCAGUGUAUCUAACAUCUCAGAUCAAGAAAUUUUUGUACGUUUUCUCGUCUCUGAAUUCUUAUUUGAACUUAUGAAUGUAUGAACUACUAAGGUUCUUGUCUAAAAGACUCGUAAACAUCAAAUUUGUGUCUAAUAGAUACGGGAUUUAACUUUGAA